GGCGCUGUGGCUUAGUUGGUUGAAGUGCUUGCCUCGUAAUUAGGAGAUCCUGGUUUCAAAUCCCAGCAGUGUCU
This 74-nucleotide transfer RNA is filed under the name Ameiurus melas (black bullhead). It matches the Rfam family "tRNA". From Rfam's summary of the family: Transfer RNA (tRNA) molecules are approximately 80 nucleotides in length. Their secondary structure includes four short double-helical elements and three loops (D, anti-codon, and T loops). Further hydrogen bonds mediate the characteristic L-shaped molecular structure. tRNAs have two regions of fundamental functional importance: the anti-codon, which is responsible for specific mRNA codon recognition, and the 3' end, to which the tRNAs corresponding amino acid is attached (by aminoacyl-tRNA synthetases). tRNAs cope with the degeneracy of the genetic code in two manners: having more than one tRNA (with a specific anti-codon) for a particular amino acid; and 'wobble' base-pairing, i.e. permitting non-standard base-pairing at the 3rd anti-codon position. Lineage: Eukaryota; Metazoa; Chordata; Actinopteri; Siluriformes; Ictaluridae. The record is from Rfam by way of RNAcentral.